AACAAGAAGGCAGAACAUAAUAAUAAACAUCAUGGUAACAACUUAUGGAUGGAUCUGACAUGAACAUGCACUUAUAUCUAAUAAAAUGUAAUAUAGGUUUUAUAUAUCUAUGUAUCUAUAUACACACAUACAAAUAUAUCUAUAUACAUAUCUACCCAUCCAUCCAUCCAUGUAUAUAUAUGACAAGUGUGCAUUCUUUCUAAAAUGAAGCACUAAAAACAUGGAGAAGCCGGGUGGUGGUGGUGCAUGCUUUUAAUCUCACCACUAUGGAGGGAGAGGGAGAGGCAGAGGCAGGUGGAUUUCUGAGUUUGAGGACAGCAUGUUUUACAGAGUUAAGUUCCAGCCAGGACUACACAGAGAAACCCUGUCUCAAAAAACAAACAAAAUAAUAACAAACACCCUGGAGAAUACUUUCUCAAAGUACAGACAACAAUGGAGAGAGGACAUCCAUAGUCCAUAGAAAUACAUGCUUGCCAAGGUAAAAUUCUUGACUCUCAGAUGCACAAACACUCUGAAGUAUCAUAGAUACUACCUCCCACUUUUGAGUUUCAACACCAACUGGUAUAGAUUCUAAAUUAUGUAAUUAAUUUCUGUUCUUUUUCAAUCUCUCUACUGUCUUCUCUAAGGCACAUGUUCAUUUAAUAUGAACACUUAAAAGCAGUAACAUCACACAUUCCAGUUGCUUCCCCAUGGCCUUUUUUCUUAACAGUUGUCUCUGUAUUUAGGAAACAGUUAAGAUACUGCAGAGCACUGGUUGCUCUGAAACCCCAGUCAAUGCCUUCCUGUCUUGAUCCCAAGGCACUCAAAAGAAGUCCUAAUUGAAAAGAACACAAACAUAAAAAGCUGAUACAUUUUAAUUAAGAUUAUAAAAAUUGGUUUAUUGUAAAAGAAAUUCAAGAAUAACCAGUUAAAUUCUUAUCCGCAUGCUACCCACUACAGCCAGGAAGCACUAACCACUUUUACAUCAGGGAGGACACAAGGAAGACUGCAUCGAGGCCGUGAUUCAGGGAAGGGAGCUCAGGUCCCCCGCAGUCAGCACAAGGGUUUGAUAAGGUCAGAGCUGUCAGGUACCGAGGGCUGCUGGACACUGAGGUAUUACAGGCAAACGUUCCCGAGGGGAAGACAGCACAUCUCACUUGGUGGGUGAGCUUAAGCGGUUCAAAGUUUAGGAACAACUUCUUUACUGACAGCGAGAUGCGAGCUCAGUCUUGAUUGAAGAGAAAGAAGCUAUGAAAGCUUUGCUAUCACGGCCUCACUACCUUCACCAGCCCACGCCCACCUUCCCACCCUCCCCCACACUAAAGCUAGUUUGCCCAGAGGGUGCGGUCUGACUCUGUGGCUUACUGGCAAAUGGUAGGCACUCAUCAGUGCCCUAUCAUCUGCACACUCACCACACACUGUUGUCUGCCAUCCCGCUGCUCAGUUUUGAAUUAGAGUAGAAUUCCAUUUCUGUUCUAAAGUCAAUGCAUCCUCCUGGUGGCCGUUUCCCCAGACCUAAUUCAAGGGUGAGUCUUCAGCUAGUUUCUUAGUAAAAGCCUUAGAGUCGAUGGCUACAAAUGACUAGGAAUCAUCAUGUAUAAUACACGGAUUCUGACUAUGAAUCAUCAUAUAUAGUACACUGAUUGCAUUUUUUUUUGAGCACUCCAAGUACUGAAUAAAACUUUUCUACUUCCAUUCCUGCACCCCACUAAAACAAAGGGCCAAUAGAUUUCUACCUUCCUAAGCUGAGGCUUUUCAUAGCAGCUUUAGCCAGGGAAAGAAUUUGUUCAUUAAAAACCCUUGAAAAUAAGGGAUUCUUCUAAAAGCAUCCAAAAACCCUUAAAUGACAGCGGUGCUAGCUGAUGCCACUACAACUCAUAACCAACUACUACUUCAUAGCUUAUACUGAAGAGUUAAUUCAUGCUUAUUUGUUCCUUUAAAAAAUACUCUUUGGAAACCAUCGUUACUCCUGGAGACACAUACUCUAGCAAUCUCUCUUCUUGUAAAAAUAAAGGCAUAAUCAUGCUAUCUUUAGCUCUUUGCUAAGUUCAACUACCCCACACAUUCACUAGUCUGACCACUUUACCAGCCGACUCAUGACCUCACAGCAUUCUACACACUCCCCCAGGGUCCAUUCAGCAGGAAAGUGUGAGCAGGUUUUGUAAGAAUGAUCCUGUAGGUAACAUUUAGUCUGGUCUUCAUUGUGUUCACUAUAAACGAGAACUCAAGUACCCACGCUUGCAUCCCAAACUGAGGCGAAGGCAAAAGGAAGGCCCGCCUCUAAAGCUCACUCCUGCUCAGUGACUGCCCAACAUGAAUCGGUCCAAGGGGGAGUGAGGCCACUUGUUUGCUUCUGUCCAAGUCACCAAAGUGUAUAGAGGGCAAGAGAGCGCCUCUAGGCUUCACCCACAACAAGAGCCCUUUCUAGAACACUGCCCUACCUCAAACACCUGCAGGUUGCCCCAACCAGAAUUUAAACUAUUUGUGAAACAUAAACUACUAGUCAUGUAUUCUAAAUGCUUAUGUUCAAGGCUACCAUUUAAAAAAUAAACUGAGGAGGGUAACCU
Peromyscus californicus insignis is the source of this 2546-nucleotide long non-coding RNA. RefSeq lists it as uncharacterized. The record is from RefSeq and is a predicted model, not a curated record. NCBI's taxonomy places the organism in Eukaryota, Metazoa, Chordata, Mammalia, Rodentia, Cricetidae. The transcript has 2 exons.